This 188-nucleotide small nuclear RNA is filed under the name Carassius auratus (goldfish). RNAcentral describes it as "U2 spliceosomal RNA (ENSCARG00000060547.1)". It matches the Rfam family "U2 spliceosomal RNA". From Rfam's summary of the family: U2 is a small nuclear RNA (snRNA) component of the spliceosome (involved in pre-mRNA splicing). Complementary binding between U2 snRNA (in an area lying towards the 5' end but 3' to hairpin I) and the branchpoint sequence (BPS) of the intron results the bulging out of an unpaired adenosine, on the BPS, which initiates a nucleophilic attack at the intronic 5' splice site, thus starting the first of two transesterification reactions that mediate splicing. The record is from Rfam by way of RNAcentral. Lineage: Eukaryota; Metazoa; Chordata; Actinopteri; Cypriniformes; Cyprinidae.
AUGGAUUUAAUAAAAAAAAAAAAAUAAAAAAAUCUGUUCUUAUCAGUUUAAUAUCUGAUACGUCCCCCAUCCGGGGACUACAUAUUAAAUGGAUUUUUAGAUCACGGGAGCUGGAGCCGGGGCUUGCUCCGUCCACUCCAUGCAUCGGCCUGGUAUUGCAGUGUCGCUCCAGGAACGGUGUGCUUUUC